This 298-nucleotide long non-coding RNA is filed under the name Mytilus galloprovincialis (Mediterranean mussel). The record is from RNAcentral. Lineage: Eukaryota; Metazoa; Mollusca; Bivalvia; Mytilida; Mytilidae.
AUAUCUUUAACAUCCUUACAAGUAGCUUGAGAAAGGUUUUAAUUGAUGAUAGCAUUAUCACAUAUACGAAAGAGAUAUGCAAACAAAACAUGCAAAAUAUGAAACGAAAUGAGAAUUCUAUAUAACAAAAUGAAAGAUAAUAAUAACAAAAAGACAGACUGUCUACAAACCACAACAUAGAAUAAAAUGAGUAAGCCAAACGAAAAUGUGAGUACAAUGCACAGGAACUUUAAAAGUUUGCUUAAUUUGUCAUUAUCUGUAGACAUGGUUAAGUGGCAUCUUCUUUGAAUAAUAAAAC